This is a long non-coding RNA of Orcinus orca (killer whale), 620 nucleotides long. RefSeq lists it as uncharacterized. The transcript has 3 exons. Lineage: Eukaryota; Metazoa; Chordata; Mammalia; Artiodactyla; Delphinidae. The record is from RefSeq and is a predicted model, not a curated record.
CCGGCCUAAGCGCAGGCGCUAGGCGACCGGAGCCGGCCCGAGCCGGCCCGCGCAGGCCCGAGCUCGCCUUCCGACCCCGGCACGAAGGCGAGGGCGGGCGGAGGCAGGGCCUUUUUCUCCCCUGCACAAUCUAGACGCCGUCCUCCCCCAGCCCAGCCAAGACUGCAUUCUCCGGUACCUGUUGAAAACAAAGAGGAAAAUAUUUAAGAAGGCUAAAUAAAGGAAGGAAAUAAACUAAUUCAAAUGUAAUGAAACUGGGUGCACAUCCUUCUACCAAUGAGGAUAUGGCUCAGUGUGGAUAAGGAAAUGACCUUGUACAUGAGACCAUCAGCACAGUGGUGCUCACCCACAUUGCACACUGAUGUAUCACGGAGCGGCUGGACAGGAAGGGAAGAUUAAGCAUAAACGCCCAGCCUGCCGUAUCUAAGCAGCAGUCAUUCUUUUCAGUUACGUGUGUGACUAAUGAGAAUCUCAUCCAUCAGGUAUGUCUUAAUGGCCAAUCCCAAAAGAGCACCACAGAAAGACGUCUACUCUUCUGUCACAUGUGCAAUGCUGGUACUUUUUUCUAGAAUGUUCUCAGAACCUGGAAGAAUGUGGACUGAAAAAUGCUUACCGUGGUA